AAACUUUCAACAACGGAUCUCUUGGCUCUGGCAUCGAUGAAGAACGCAGCGAAAUGCGAUAAGUAAUGUGAAUUGCAGAAUUUAGUGAAUCAUCGAAUCUUUGAACGCACAUUGCGCCCCUUGGUAUUCCGAGGGGCAUGCCUG
This 144-nucleotide ribosomal RNA is filed under the name Neoerysiphe galeopsidis. Its description in RNAcentral is "5.8S ribosomal RNA". It matches the Rfam family "5.8S ribosomal RNA". Rfam says of the family: 5.8S ribosomal RNA (5.8S rRNA) is a component of the large subunit of the eukaryotic ribosome. It is transcribed by RNA polymerase I as part of the 45S precursor that also contains 18S and 28S rRNA. Functionally, it is thought that 5.8S rRNA may be involved in ribosome translocation. RNAcentral also lists the same sequence under 2 other names. The record is from RNAcentral. Lineage: Eukaryota; Fungi; Ascomycota; Leotiomycetes; Helotiales; Erysiphaceae.